CUUGGUCAUUUAGAGGAAGUAAAAGUCGUAACAAGGUUUCCGUAGGUGAACCUGCGGAAGGAUCAUUAGUGAAUUGAAUAUGUUAGCGGACCUCUUCGGAGUCCCUAGCAUCAAAUCAUAUCCAUAACACCUGUGAACUGUAAGGCUGUCUUGAAAACGAAAGUGAUUAGAGCGCCUGCCCAUUUUAUACAAACAUUAAAGUAACAAACGUAGUCUUAUUAUAAUCUAAUAAAACUUUCAACAACGGAUCUCUUGGCUCUCGCAUCGAUGAAGAACGCAGCGAAAUGCGAUAAGUAGUGUGAAUUGCAGAAUUCAGUGAAUCAUCGAAUCUUUGAACGCACCUUGCGCUCUUUGGUAUUCCGAAGAGCAUGCCUGUUUGAGUGUCAUGAAAAUAUCAACCUUGACUUGGGUUUAGUGCUCUUGUCUUGGCUUGGAUUUGGCUGUUUGCCGCUCGAAAGAGUCGGCUCAGCUUAAAAGUAUUAGCUGGAUCUGUCUUUGAGACUUGGUUUGACUUGGCGUAAUAAGUUAUUUCGCUGAGGACAAUCUUCGGAUUGGCCGAGUUUCUGGGACGUUUGUCCGCUUUCUAAUACAAGUUCUAGCUUGCUAGACAUGACUUUUUUAUUAUCUGGCCUCAAAUCAGGUAGGACUACCCGCUGAACUUAAGCAUAUCAAUAAGCGGAGGA
RNAcentral lists this ribosomal RNA (683 nucleotides) under uncultured Cryptococcus. RNAcentral's name for it is "eukaryotic LSU rRNA". The stretch from base 233 to 386 matches the Rfam family "5.8S ribosomal RNA". The record is from RNAcentral. Lineage: Eukaryota; Fungi; Basidiomycota; Tremellomycetes.